ACAUUAUGUUACUAUAAUGUGAGCAGGAUCAUGUUGAGGGCUACCUUGAACUGUCUGCGAAGACAAAGUCAUAUUUUGCUGCUGCUGUUGCUUCAUGGGAUGCAGAUUUUUAUGUGAAAGUUGAUGAUGAUGUUCAUGUAAAUAUAGCAACACUAGGAGAAACUUUGGCAAGAUACAGGAAAAAGCCACAGGUGUAUAUCGGAUGUAUGAAAUCUAGUCCUGUCCUUGCUCAGAAGGGAGUGAGGUACCAUGAACCUGAAUAUUGGAAAUUCGGGGAGGCAGGAAACAGGUAUUUUAGACAUGCUACAAGACAACUAUAUGCCAUUUCAAAAGAUUUGGCUACUUACAUCUCGAUAAACCAGUUAAAUUACACUCUCACAUGGUGUAAAAAAUGAGAGAUCAAAAAAAGAAAUAUGUGUGUGUAUCACUGAAG
This is a non-coding RNA of Camellia sinensis, 433 nucleotides long. NCBI's taxonomy places the organism in Eukaryota, Viridiplantae, Streptophyta, Magnoliopsida, Ericales, Theaceae. The record is from RefSeq and is a predicted model, not a curated record.